RNAcentral lists this ribosomal RNA (730 nucleotides) under Bacillus sp. B-48S. Its description in RNAcentral is "bacterial SSU rRNA". It matches the Rfam family "Bacterial small subunit ribosomal RNA", at positions 62 to 773 of the family's 1533-position model. Lineage: Bacteria; Bacillati; Bacillota; Bacilli; Caryophanales; Bacillaceae. The record is from RNAcentral.
UCGAGCGAACAGAGAAGGAGCUUGCUCCUUUGACGUUAGCGGCGGACGGGUGAGUAACACGUGGGCAACCUACCCUAUAGUUUGGGAUAACUCCGGGAAACCGGGGCUAAUACCGAAUAAUCUAUUGUCCCUCAUGGGACAAUACUGAAAGACGGUUUCGGCUGUCGCUAUAGGAUGGGCCCGCGGCGCAUUAGCUAGUUGGUGAGGUAACGGCUCACCAAGGCAACGAUGCGUAGCCGACCUGAGAGGGUGAUCGGCCACACUGGGACUGAGACACGGCCCAGACUCCUACGGGAGGCAGCAGUAGGGAAUCUUCCACAAUGGGCGAAAGCCUGAUGGAGCAACGCCGCGUGAGUGAAGAAGGAUUUCGGUUCGUAAAACUCUGUUGUAAGGGAAGAACAAGUACAGUAGUAACUGGCUGUACCUUGACGGUACCUUAUUAGAAAGCCACGGCUAACUACGUGCCAGCAGCCGCGGUAAUACGUAGGUGGCAAGCGUUGUCCGGAAUUAUUGGGCGUAAAGCGCGCGCAGGUGGUUUCUUAAGUCUGAUGUGAAAGCCCACGGCUCAACCGUGGAGGGUCAUUGGAAACUGGGAGACUUGAGUGCAGAAGAGGAUAGUGGAAUUCCAAGUGUAGCGGUGAAAUGCGUAGAGAUUUGGAGGAACACCAGUGGCGAAAGCGACUAUCUGGUCUGUAACUGACACUGAGGCGCGAAAGCGUGGGGAGCAAAC